Molecule: non-coding RNA, 254 nt
Organism: Pelobates cultripes (western spadefoot toad)
Lineage: Eukaryota; Metazoa; Chordata; Amphibia; Anura; Pelobatidae
Source: the annotation of a GenBank genome assembly
CAUUAUUCUUUCACUAACUGAAUUGGUCGUUAAGUGAGAACCGCCCUCUGAUCGGGUUGAAAUUCGCAUUCGCAUCACGACAUAGAUGCGAGGUACAGCUUUACUGUGCACAGAAACCAAGUCUCGCAUCCUUGUCACAGCGAUACGAAUGCAAAUUUCGCCCCCAACUAAUUUGUGUCUAAACUAAUGGCUGUUCAUAUUCAAAUCUUAUGCGCCAUGUAAUCUAAUGCGUAUUCAAAUUUUGGAAUAAUUAU